Molecule: non-coding RNA, 3155 nt
Organism: Salvia hispanica
Lineage: Eukaryota; Viridiplantae; Streptophyta; Magnoliopsida; Lamiales; Lamiaceae
Source: RefSeq, a predicted model, not a curated record
ACUAAAGCUCUCUACUCCACUUUGCAACUUUAAUUUGUUCCGCCACCACUCCAUCACCACUACCAAUUUUCAGAUCGAAGAAAUGACGGCUUACGGUGCUAUUUCUUCUCUUGCUGAAACAAUGAACAAUAUUCUCCAUUGUUCUCGUUUUAGCCUUGACGGUCGCUCUCAACAAAUCAUACAAGUCGUGAUCAACGAGUUGCAGCCUUGGCGCCAAAUUCUGGAAAGAUUGGACAAGACGAGCCCAAGCAAGAGCAGGAAGAAGGUGAAUGCUUUGGAUGGAAGAAUUAAAGAGGCAAUUUGGAAAUUCGAAGACUCAUUGGAAUUCCUUCUCAUUCAACACAUUACUUCUUCUCAACUCGAAACUCUUCCAGAGAUAGUCUCCACUGAUCUGCAGAGUCUGCAAAAUGAUGCAGAUUCCUUGAUCCAGAAGCUCAAGGAUAUGGAGAAGGAGUACAUCUAUGAAGUGGAGAAUAUGCCUCAAGACGAACCUAUUUCCUCAUCAUUUGGUUUCCCUGGGACCAAUUCUAAGAUGAGAUUAUCUGACCAAUUCCAACAACUCAAAAACGAUAUUCUGAGAGAUCACUUCAACUUUGGUUUACGCCGCCUAGUUGGAACGGCCGGCGUUGGGAAGACAACUCUUGCAAUGCAAAUCUACCAAGAUCCAGAAAUUCAUUGCAAGUUUGAGUGUCGCGCCUGGGUCACCGUUGGCCGAGUCCCUCAGCCAGCCAGUAUAAUUUCCAAAGGCAUUCUUGCUCAACUGUGUGGAAUUGAAAUCACUCAAGGAGACGAAGAAAUGGACUACUACAGUUUGAAAGAAAGAUUGCCUGACAAGCAUUGCCUCAUUGUGCUGGAUGAUGUCUGGGAGGAAGAAGACGCAUGGCGUAUUACGAGGCAUACUUUUCCUUACAUCCAAAAUCAAAGUGUUCAAGUCUUGCUUACAGGUCGACAUCGAAUAUUGAUGAAUGAUUAUUAUUUUCCUUCUGGGUUUGAGGUGCGGUUUUUGAAUGAAGAAGAAAGCAUGGAACUAUUAUGUGUGAAGGUGUUUGGUGAUGAGAUCUGCCCUCCUCAACUUCAAAAAGUUGCCAUCAAAAUCUCCAAGCAUUGUGAAGGUCUCCCUCUCUUGAUCGUCACUGUGGCUGGCUUCCUUUCGAAAUCCGAGCAGAACAGAGACCUAGUCUACUGGAAUGACGUGGCAGAAAUGAGAAAUUCAGUCUUCCAGGAUGCAUAUGAUGAAAUAUCAAAGGUACUUUUCCCAAGUUCCGACUACUUGCCUCAAAAUCUUAAAAUGACUUUUUUGUUUUUGGGAGUUUUCCCUCGGGAUUACGACACCCCCACUUCCAAGAUCAUCAUCAUGCUCAUGGCUCAAGGGUUUCUUUCAUCGUAUGAAUCGGGAUGUAAAUAUCUGAAAGAGCUAAAUUAUGACUACAGCCUGAUUUUACGCAUCUUGAAGACUGUUGAUAAAAGUCUUCUUGUUGAGUUUGAAGUUACUGAGUUUAAAACUUGCUGGCUUCAUUCUUCAUGGCGGCACGUUUGUAGAGUAGAAGCUAGUAAGAACAAGUUUUAUCAUGUCUUAAAUAAGUUAGAUGAUGCCGAAGAUGAAGUUUUAAAAGGUCAACGCGGCUUAUGUCCCGAAAAUAAGAUUUUAUUUGGCAUCAAAGACUUUCGUGACUCAGUGAGAUUGAAUUGUGCUUCCAUUGCACGUUCUCUCCUUUGCUAUGGUCCUUACCACCAAUAUCCAAUCCAUAUAGACGUCGGUUUCAUGUUGUUAAGGGAAAUAGAUGCCCUUACACAACGUUUUUAUACUUUUCCAACAGAGAUUCUUACACUAGUCCAACUAAAGUACCUUGCUCUAACUUGCAAUGGAGAAGUACCUUCAACCAUAUCUAAACUUUUCAACCUUCGAGUCUUAAUUAUCCAUCCGCAUAUGAAAAUUAGACAUCGUGGAGCUCCAUCGUAUGUACCGAUGGAAAUAUGGGACAUGAAAGAGUUAGAGCAUAUCGAGAUAUUGGGAAAAAGCCUUGUAGCUCCAUCUCAUGUUGUUUCGUUGGAAAAGCUGUCAACUCUGGUAGGGGUGAAUGCUAGUAUUUGUACAAUCUUCAAUCUCUCCCAAAGAAUUCCUAACAUAAAGAAAUUAGGAAUACAGAUUGAGGUCACGCCUUAUGAGGAUCACAAUGAUCUUUUGAGUUGUUUUGAUUGCAUUUCAACACUUGAAAGCUUAGAGACUCUCAAACUCAGUAUUACAAAUCCAGUCAUCAAGAAAGGUAAUGUUUUCCCAAUGAUUGAUGGGGCAUUGAAGUUGCCAUGCAAUUUGAAAAAGUUACAUUUGAGUGGUAUGGGUUUUCCAUGGAAAUACAUGAAUGACAUUGCUUCUAUGCCAAAUCUUGAAGCUCUCAAAUUGCGAUCCUACGCCUUUCAGGGUUCACAUUGGAAUGUAAAAAAUGAUUGUUUUCGAAGUCUUAAGUUUCUUCUAAUUGAAGAAAGUGAUUUGGUGCAAUGGAAAUCCAGACGCGGAAGCUUCUGCGAGCUUGCAGUCUUAAGCAUAAAACAUUGCUACAAACUUGAAAUUAUCCGCAUACCUUCUCUCUUUAAUCCCCAUGACCUAGAGGAGAUUGAAUUAGAGGACUGCAAUCCUUUAGUUUUGACUUGGGCCACCCAAUUACAACCACGUUUAACUUGUACGCUUCGUGUUACUUUCUCUUCUUCUUUUGAUGAGAAACCGACAACUAUCAAAUUUAAAAGGUUUGGAACCAUACUUUAUGAUGAAUAUAAAGAUGAUCAUGAGGAGAAUGAGGAAGAGAAUGAAAACGAAUAUACUUAUAUAUGAUCAUGAGUGUACAAAGGCGAGUAAUCAUGAGGAUACAGAGGUGAGCGCAAAUGUCAAGGAGCACGAGAAAUCUUUGAGGCUUUGAAUUUGCUGCUGCAGAGGCGAUGCACAUGUUAUUCAAAGUAUGAUUUUUCUCAAUAAAUAUAAUAACUUUGUAGUGAUUUCUUGGUAUUUUGGUUUGAUUCCCAAUAAAUGAGUCAUGAAUGUUGUAUUACUACUUAUUUAGGGUUGUCACUUAAAUUUAAGAAUUGUAAUUUGAGUGGAUUAUGUAUGAAUUCAAUGUUGUUUUGUGUUGGAUUUAAUUGAAAACAUUACUUGGGAAUUUAAA